Alexandromys fortis (reed vole) is the source of this 161-nucleotide small nucleolar RNA. The record is from RefSeq and is a predicted model, not a curated record. NCBI's taxonomy places the organism in Eukaryota, Metazoa, Chordata, Mammalia, Rodentia, Cricetidae.
GGUCUCUAAUCUUGGUAGAGACAGUUACAUGCUUUCGCUGGAAGGGCAGUCCAACAAGCAUGUUUCCUACUUUUAUCCACCUCACUCCAGACGGGGUGAUUCUUCAGUUCCCUGGGAAAAAUCGUAAACUGAAUUGGAGUAGAAACAGGCCAUAUUCAAGU